AUACGGAGGGUGCAAGCGUUAUCCGGAAUCAUGGGGUUUAAAGGGUCCGUAGGCGGACUAUUAAGUCAGAGGUGAAAUCCCACAGCUCAACUGUGGAACUGCCUUUGAUACUGGUAGUCUUGAGUUAUAUGGAAGUAGAUAGAAUGUGUAGUGUAGCGGUGAAAUGCAUAGAUAUUACACAGAAUACCGAUUGCGAAGGCAGUCUACUACGUAUAUACUGACGCUAAGGGACGAAAGCGUGGGGAGCGAACAGGAUUAGAAACCCCAGUAGUCC
This 274-nucleotide ribosomal RNA is filed under the name uncultured bacterium. RNAcentral describes it as "partial 16S ribosomal RNA". It matches the Rfam family "Bacterial small subunit ribosomal RNA", at positions 523 to 796 of the family's 1533-position model. The record is from RNAcentral.